Molecule: ribosomal RNA, 392 nt
Filed under: uncultured bacterium
Lineage: Bacteria
Description: partial 16S ribosomal RNA
Rfam family: Bacterial small subunit ribosomal RNA
Source: RNAcentral
AUACGGAGGAUCCGAGCGUUAUCCGGAUUUAUUGGGUUUAAAGGGUGCGCAGGCGGCCAUUUAAGUCAGCGGUUAAAUCGUGGGGCUCAACCCCAUUCUGCCGUUGAUACUGGGUGGCUUGAUUGCGGUCGAGGUUGGCGGAAUUCGUUGUGUAGCGGUGAAAUGCAUAGAUAUGACGAAGAACACCGAUUGCGUAGGCAGCUGACCAGACCGCAAAUGACUCUCAUGCACGAAAGUGCGGGGAUCGAACAGGAUUAGAUACCCUGGUAGUCCGCACAGUAAACGAUUAAUACUUGUUUUCGGCGAUAUAAUGUCGGAGGCAAAGCGAAAGCGAUAAGUAUUCCACCUGGGGAGUACGCCGGCAACGGUGAAACUCAAAGGAAUUGACGGGG